This 1370-nucleotide long non-coding RNA is filed under the name Vulpes vulpes (red fox). RNAcentral's name for it is "lncRNA (ENSVVUG00000008328.1)". Lineage: Eukaryota; Metazoa; Chordata; Mammalia; Carnivora; Canidae. The record is from RNAcentral.
CUGGAACUUCAGGAUCACGCCCUGAGCCAAAGGCAGAUGCUUAACCACUAAGCCACGCAGGCAUCCCAGAGUAAUCCUAUUUAAUUAAAGAGUGAAGAAAGCAAAUAAUGGUAACUUAAAGGAACAAAGAAGUGACCUGGGAAGUACAAAAGGAAGUCAUGGAACAAGAAGCAUUUUAAAAAGUAAAUCAACAGGAAUCCCUAAACAAAUGGAAGUCUAAAGGUCUCAGAUUUAAAGGAAAAAUAAAGGGAAGUAAAGCUGCCUAGGAUGGGUAAAGGAAAAGUUCAGUUUCAGGGCAAGAAAGUGAAAUGUGAUUGUGAUUAUAAAGGUGAUAAAAAUGCAGCUGGACAUGGAAAAAGAACAAGAGAAGAAACAGACAAGGAGAACCUGCAUUGAAACAACAGAAAACAGAAAAUGGUGCUGGAGACAAGUAGUUUAGGGAACAAAUUGUAUAUUCAUUUUAAUUAGAUUUUAAGUUGCUGUUGUCUUUGGAGGCUUCUAAAAAGGAAACUGAAUUAGGUUCCCUUCAGUGUCACUUUUUUUUUUUUUUUAGUGAUUAGGGCUUUUAUGCAAGAAACACACAAACUGACUUGAUGAGGUAUUAAUUGAAGUUAUGACUUUGACUCUGGGGCCUGACUUUGAAUAUCUUAUUCUCAGGAACUGUAGACCUUGCCCAACUGAUCCUUUUUGCCAAAGCCAGUNGCAGCUGCGAUCCCUGCUCCCUCCACUGUCUUUUGUGCUACUGCUGUCACCCCUGUCACCACGGCCUCACCAACAUAAGACUAGAAGAAUCUUAACAGAGGUCAAUAUAAAUGAAAAGUAAAUGCCAGUUUUAAGCCACACAAAAAUCUCAUGGCAAGGCAGAGGAUCUUAUUGAGAAAAACCAUAUGAGAGACAAGUAUGUAAAAGUUUCUGUGUAUGAUAUUUUUUGUUUGUUUUCAGGUUGUGUUGUUUGAUUUGGUUUAUAUAUCAUCAAAGUAAUCAUACUGUAUAUGUACUUAUAAUUAAUUGAGAAAAUCACAUGGUCCCCAUUUGUCUCCAUUGUCUUCAUAUCAUUGAGAUUGUAUUCAUCUAAGAAAAGUGAGAAGGUUCAUAAUGUGAUAAUGAAUUACUAUAUGCCAAAAAUUUAUGGGACGCUGCUAGAGCUGAGUAUAGAAGGAAAUUUAUAGCUUUAAAAUACUCGUAUUUGAAGUGAAGAAAGUCUUAAGACAGAUAAGCAUCACCUAAAGUUAGAAAAAGAAGAGCAUAUUAAAACCAACAAAAUAGAAAUAAUACAUUAUACAUCUAAAACAGUGAAUUUUAUAUCAUGUGAAAUUGUUUGAAAAAAAAGUGGAAAUAAAAACAUUAAUGAAUAAAAGAAAUGGAAACUA